GACGAACGCUGGCGGCGUGCUUAACACAUGCAAGUCGAACGGAAAGGCCCUGCUUUUGUGGGGUGCUCGAGUGGCGAACGUGUGAGUAACACGUGAGUAACCUGCCCUUGACUUUGGGAUAACUUCAGGAAACUGGGGCUAAUACCGGAUAGGAGCUCCUGCUGCAUGGUGGGGUUUGGAAAGUUUCGGCGGUUGGGGAUGGACUCGCGGCUUAUCAGCUUGUUGGUGGGGUAGUGGCUUACAAAGGCUUUGACGGGUAGCCGGCCUGAGAGGGUGACCGGCCACAUUGGGACUGAGAUACGGCCCAGACUCCUACGGGAGGCAGCAGUGGGGAAUAUUGCACAAUGGGCGGAAGCCUGAUGCAGCAACGCCGCGUGCGGGAUGACGGCCUUCGGGUUGUAAACCGCUUUCGCCAGUGACGAAGCGUGAGUGACGGUAAUGGGUAAAGAAGCACCGGCUAACUACGUG
Molecule: ribosomal RNA, 468 nt
Filed under: uncultured bacterium
Lineage: Bacteria
Description: partial 16S ribosomal RNA
Rfam family: Bacterial small subunit ribosomal RNA
Source: RNAcentral